This 91-nucleotide transfer RNA is filed under the name Acetivibrio saccincola. Its description in RNAcentral is "Hungateiclostridium saccincola tRNA-Leu". It matches the Rfam family "tRNA". Rfam says of the family: Transfer RNA (tRNA) molecules are approximately 80 nucleotides in length. The record is from RNAcentral. Lineage: Bacteria; Bacillati; Bacillota; Clostridia; Acetivibrionales; Acetivibrionaceae.
GCCGGAGUGGCGGAACAGGCAGACGCACAGGACUUAAAAUCCUGCGGGAAAUCAAAUUCCCGUACCGGUUCGAUUCCGGUCUCCGGCACCA